This 467-nucleotide ribosomal RNA is filed under the name uncultured bacterium. RNAcentral's name for it is "partial 16S ribosomal RNA". It matches the Rfam family "Bacterial small subunit ribosomal RNA", at positions 28 to 506 of the family's 1533-position model. The record is from RNAcentral.
GACGAACGCUGGCGGCGUGCUUAACACAUGCAAGUCGAACGGAAAGGCCCUGCUUUUGUGGGGUGCUCGAGUGGCGAACGGGUGAGUAACACGUGAGUAACCUGCCCUUGACUUUGGGAUAACUUCAGGAAACUGGGGCUAAUACCGGAUAGGAGCUCCUGCUGCAUGGUGGGGGUUGGAAAGUUUCGGCGGUUGGGGAUGGACUCGCGGCUUCUCAGCUUGUUGGUGGGGUAGUGGCUUACCAAGGCUUUGACGGGUAGCCGGCCUGAGAGGGUGACCGGCCAUCUUGGGACGGAGCUACGGCCCGAACCCCUGGGGGGGGGAGAGGGGGGGAAUUUUUCAAAAUGGGCGGAAGCCGGGUGCAACAACGCCGGGUGGGGGAGGACGGCCUGCGGGUUGUAACCCGCUUUACCCUGGGACGAAGCGGGAGUGGCGGUAAUGGGUAAAGAAACACCGGCUAAUCACGU